Molecule: long non-coding RNA, 543 nt
Organism: Lontra canadensis (Northern American river otter)
Lineage: Eukaryota; Metazoa; Chordata; Mammalia; Carnivora; Mustelidae
Exons: 3
Source: RefSeq, a predicted model, not a curated record
UAAUUUGGCCGCAUGUCUGGUUACACCAUAUUCCUAGAGGGGGAGUGGGGACUGGAUUCUGACAGCAAGCUUACAUUCUCUGCCCCAGAGAAUAAAGGAAAUAUAAAUCAGGGUCUCCUCCUUAUUGCAGAUUGUUAUGAAAACAGGCAAGAUUGCCCUAAAGACAGCAGAAGGCUUUGAUUUUGAAAUAGCCAAGACUUGAUUGUGUGAAUUUUUGACCGACCCAGAGGGCACUUCCUUUACCCUAAUCCCCCAGUUAGGAGAGAUCUGAGAAUUGGAAACAAUGAACGUCCCCAGGAACCAAGUCUGGGGAGUACCUUGGAUGCUGAAGCUGAGAAAGAAUGUUCCUGCCUCAGAAAUGGAGGGUACGAUCCACCUCAUCUUUCAGUCAGCCUCAUGCUCAUCUGGCUCCCAGGUUUCAGGAAAAAGAAGAGUCACUCCAAAUGAGAUUGCCCGUGCAUUCCGGGAUCUCCACACACCAUAUGCUGAGUGGUCUGUGGCUCCCUUGAAUGGCAAACAGUUAUGUCCACUUGUUUGUUUUGU